RNAcentral lists this ribosomal RNA (254 nucleotides) under uncultured bacterium. RNAcentral describes it as "partial 16S ribosomal RNA". It matches the Rfam family "Bacterial small subunit ribosomal RNA", at positions 524 to 776 of the family's 1533-position model. The record is from RNAcentral.
UACGGGGGGGCCAAGCGUUGUUCGGAAUUACUGGGCGUAAAGGGCUCGUAGGCGGCCAACUAAGUCAGACGUGAAAUCCCCAGGCUUAACCUGGGAACUGCGUCUGAUACUGGAUGGCUUGAAUCCGGGAGAGGGAUGCAGAAUUCCAGGUGUAGCGGUGAAAUGCGUAGAUAUCUGGAGGAAUACCGGUGGCGAAGGCGGCAUCCUGGACCGGCAUUGACGCUGAGUGAGCGAAAGCCAGGGGAGCAAACGGG